CCUACGGGCGGCAGCAGUGAGGAAUAUUGGUCAAUGGACGCAAGUCUGAACCAGCCAUGCCGCGUGCAGGAAGACGGCUCUAUGAGUUGUAAACUGCUUUUGUACGAGGGUAAACGCAGAUACGCGUAUCUGUCUGAAAGUAUCGUACGAAUAAGGAUCGGCUAACUCCGUGCCAGCAGCCGCGGUAAAACGGAGGAUUCAAGCGUUAUCCGGAUUUAUUGGGUUGAAAGGGUGCGUAGGCGGUCGGAUAAGUUAGAGGUGAAAUCCCGAGGCUCAAAUUCGGAAUUGCCUCUGAUACUGUUCGGCGAGAGAGUAGUUGCGGUAGGCGGAAUGUAUGGUGUAGCGGUGAAAUGCUUAGAGAUCAUACAGAACACCGAUUGCGAAGGCAGCUUACCAAGCUACUUCUGACGUUGAGGCACGAAAGCGUGGGGAGCAAACAGGAUUAGAUACCCCAGUAGUC
Molecule: ribosomal RNA, 460 nt
Filed under: uncultured bacterium
Lineage: Bacteria
Description: partial 16S ribosomal RNA
Rfam family: Bacterial small subunit ribosomal RNA
Source: RNAcentral